Colius striatus (speckled mousebird) is the source of this 281-nucleotide long non-coding RNA. RefSeq lists it as uncharacterized. The record is from RefSeq and is a predicted model, not a curated record. NCBI's taxonomy places the organism in Eukaryota, Metazoa, Chordata, Aves, Coliiformes, Coliidae. The transcript has 3 exons.
GAGAGAACUGCUCUACCAGAUACAACCACAGUUCAGAGGAAAGGACAAGUGGCUGACUCACCUGGAUUUUGGCACCUCACUGUGAUCAGGUGUAAUAGCUGGCAUGGUCCCUUUCAUUCAUCCUCCUUCCAGCUGCUUUAUUAGCCAUUUUAACUGUCGUAGCACAGGACAAACAAGCCACCAGAGAGAAUGGUUGAAAGGCGCUGUGUCACCAUAGGCAAGUACCAGUUGGGACUCACCUCCCUCCACACACUGAUGAGACUGGAACCUGAUGCUUUUGG